This 1039-nucleotide ribosomal RNA is filed under the name Epibryon brunneolum. Its description in RNAcentral is "Cladophialophora brunneola SSU rRNA". It matches the Rfam family "Eukaryotic small subunit ribosomal RNA", at positions 68 to 1121 of the family's 1831-position model. Lineage: Eukaryota; Fungi; Ascomycota; Eurotiomycetes; Chaetothyriales; Epibryaceae. The record is from RNAcentral.
AGCAUCUAUACUGUGAAACUGCGAAUGGCUCAUUAAAUCAGUUAUCGUUUAUUUGAUAGUACCUUUACCUGGAUAACCGUGGUAAUUCUAGAGCUAAUACAUGCUAAAAACCUCGACUUCGGAAGGGGUGUAUUUAUUAGAUAAAAAACCAAUGCCCUUCGGGGCUCCUUGGUGAUUCAUAAUAACUUAACGAAUCGCAUGGCCUUGCGCCGGCGAUGGUUCAUUCAAAUUUCUGCCCUAUCAACUUUCGAUUGUAAGAUAGUGGCUUACAAUGGUUUUAACGGGUAACGGGGAAUUAGGGUUCUAUUCCGGAGAGGGAGCCUGAGAAACGGCUACCACAUCCAAGGAAGGCAGCAGGCGCGCAAAUUACCCAAUCCCAAUACGGGGAGGUAGUGACAAUAAAUACUGAUACAGGGCUCUUUCGGGUCUUGUAAUUGGAAUGAGUACAAUCUAAAUCCCUUAACGAGGAACAAUUGGAGGGCAAGUCUGGUGCCAGCAGCCGCGGUAAUUCCAGCUCCAAUAGCGUAUAUUAAAGUUGUUGCAGUUAAAAAGCUCGUAGUUGAACCUUGGGCCUGACCGAUCUGUCCUCCUAAUCGAGCGCACGGAUUCGGUUGGGUCUUUCCUUCUGGGGAUCCCUAUGCCCUUCACUGGGCGUAGUGGGGAACCAGGACUUUUACCUUGAAAAAAUUAGAGUGUUCAAAGCAGGCAUUUGCUCGAAUACAUUAGCAUGGAAUAAUAGAAUAGGACAUCGGUUCUAUUUUGUUGGUUUCUAGGACCGCUGUAAUGAUUAAUAGGGAUAGUCGGGGGCGUCAGUAUUCAAUUGUCAGAGGUGAAAUUCUUGGAUUUAUUGAAGACUAACUAUUGCGAAAGCAUUCGCCAAGGAUGUUUUCAUUAAUCAGUGAACGAAAGUUAGGGGAUCGAAGACGAUCAGAUACCGUCGUAGUCUUAACCAUAAACUAUGCCGACUAGGGAUCGGACGGUGGUUUUUUAUGCCCCGUUCGGCACCUUACGAGAAAUCAAAGUUUUGGGCUCUGGGGAG